RNAcentral lists this ribosomal RNA (468 nucleotides) under uncultured bacterium. RNAcentral describes it as "partial 16S ribosomal RNA". It matches the Rfam family "Bacterial small subunit ribosomal RNA", at positions 28 to 507 of the family's 1533-position model. The record is from RNAcentral.
GACGAACGCUGGCGGCGUGCUUAACACAUGCAAGUCGAACGGAAAGGCCCUGCUUUUGUGGGGUGCUCGAGUGGCGAACGGGUGGGUAACACGUUAGUAACCUGCCCUUGACUUUGGGAUAACUUCAUGAAACUGGGGCUAAUACCGGAUAGGAGCUCCUGCUUCAUUGUGGUGGUUGGAAAGUUUCGGCGGUUGGGGAUGGACUCGCGGCUUAUCAGCUUGUUGGUGGGGUAGUGGCUUACCAAGGCUUUGACGGGUAGCCGGCCUGAGAGGGUGACCGGCAAAAGUGGGACUGAGAUACGGCACAGACUCAUACGGGGGGCAGCAGUGGGGAAUAUUGCACAAUGGGCGGAAGCCUGAUGCAGCAACGCCGCGUGCGGGAUGACGGACUUCGGGUUGUAAACCGCUUUCGCCUGUGACGAAGCGUGAGUGACGGUAAUGGGUAAAGAAGCACCGGCUAACUACGUG